UACGUAGGGUGCGAGCGUUGUCCGGAAUUAUUGGGCGUAAAGGGCUCGUAGGCGGUUUGUCGCGUCGGGAGUGAAAACACCGGGCUUAACUCGGUGCUGGCUUUCGAUACGGGCAGACUAGAGGUAUUCAGGGGAGAACGGAAUUCCUGGUGUAGCGGUGAAAUGCGCAGAUAUCAGGGGGAACACCGGUGGCGAAGGCGGUUCUCUGGGAAUGUCCUGACGCUGAGGAGCGAAAGUGUGGGGAGCGAACAGG
RNAcentral lists this ribosomal RNA (253 nucleotides) under uncultured bacterium. RNAcentral describes it as "partial 16S ribosomal RNA". It matches the Rfam family "Bacterial small subunit ribosomal RNA", at positions 524 to 776 of the family's 1533-position model. The record is from RNAcentral.